This 484-nucleotide ribosomal RNA is filed under the name uncultured bacterium. RNAcentral's name for it is "bacterial SSU rRNA". It matches the Rfam family "Bacterial small subunit ribosomal RNA", at positions 28 to 507 of the family's 1533-position model. The record is from RNAcentral.
GAUGAACGCUAGCGGCAGGCUUAAUACAUGCAAGUCGUGGGGCAGCAUGAGUAGCAAUACUUGAUGGCGACCGGCAAACGGGUGAGGAACACGUACACAACCUUCCUUCAAGCGGGGAAUAGCCCAGAGAAAUUUGGAUUAAUACCCCAUAAUAUAUUUGAUAAGGCAUCUUAUUAAUAUUAAAGCUUCGGCACUUGAUGAUGGGUGUGCGGCUGAUUAGAUAGUUGGCGGGGUAACGGCCCACCAAGUCUACGAUCAGUAGCUGAUGUGAGAGCAUGAUCAGCCACACGGGCACUGAGACACGGGCCCGACUCCUACGGGAGGCAGCAGUAAGGAAUAUUGGACAAUGGACGAAAGUCUGAUCCAGCCAUGCCGCGUGAAGGAUUAAGGUCCUCUGGAUUGUAAACUUCUUUUAUAUGGGACGAAAAAGGGCAUUCUUGUUCACUUGACGGUACCAUAUGAAUAAACACCGGCUAACUCCGUG